Molecule: ribosomal RNA, 441 nt
Filed under: uncultured Sphingobacteriales bacterium
Lineage: Bacteria; Pseudomonadati; Bacteroidota; Sphingobacteriia; Sphingobacteriales
Description: bacterial SSU rRNA
Rfam family: Bacterial small subunit ribosomal RNA
Source: RNAcentral
AUGUGGUUUAAUUCGAUGAUACGCGAGGAACCUUACCUGGGCUCAAAUGUAUGUUGACGUAUUCUGAAAGGGAUACUUCUUCGGACAAUAUACAAGGUGCUGCAUGGUUGUCGUCAGCUCGUGCCGUGAGGUGUCGGGUUAAGUCCCAUAACGAGCGCAACCCCUAUCAUUAGUUGCCAUCAGGUCAAGCUGGGGACUCUAAUGAAACUGCCUACGCAAGUAGUGAGGAAGGUGGGGAUGACGUCAAAUCAGCACGGCCCUUACGUCCAGGGCUACACACGUGCUACAAUGGCCGGUACAAAGGGCAGCUACCUGGUGACAGGAUGCUAAUCUCAAAAGCCGGUCUCAGUUCGGAUCGGAGUCUGCAACCCGACUCCGUGAAGCUGGAGUCGCUAGUAAUCGCGCAUCAGCCAUGGCGCGGUGAAUACGUUCCCGGGCCUU